RNAcentral lists this ribosomal RNA (470 nucleotides) under uncultured beta proteobacterium. RNAcentral's name for it is "bacterial SSU rRNA". It matches the Rfam family "Bacterial small subunit ribosomal RNA", at positions 60 to 524 of the family's 1533-position model. The record is from RNAcentral. Lineage: Bacteria; Pseudomonadati; Pseudomonadota; Betaproteobacteria.
AUUACCGCGGCUGCUGGGGGGGCAACCCUGGCGGCGAGCGGCGAACGGGUGAGUAAUGCAUCGGAACAUGUCCGGUUGUGGGGGAUAACCUGGCGAAAGCCAGGCUAAUACCGCAUGAGCUCGAGAGAGGAAAGCGGGGGACCGUAAGGCCUCGCGCGACCGGGUUGGCCGAUGUCCGAUUAGCUAGUUGGUGGGGUAAAGGCUUACCAAGGCGAUGAUCGGUAGCUGGUUUGAGAGGAUGAUCAGCCACCCUGGGACUGAGACACGGCCCAGACUCCUACGGGAGGCAGCAGUGGGGAAUUUUGGACAAUGGGGGCAACCCUGAUCCAGCCAUUCCGCGUGAGUGAAGAAGGCCUUCGGGUUGUAAAGCUCUUUUGUCCGGAGCGAAACGGUCGUGGUGAAUAUCCGCGACUACUGACGGUACCGGAAGAAUAAGCACCGGCUAACUACGUGCCAGCAGCCGCGGUAAU